GUUUUAAAAGCAUUAUAACUGGCUGAUUGUCAUUGGUGAAAAAUAACGAGGCAUAAUGCCACAAAGGCAGCUGAAGCUGCUUUUCCGGGCUUCUGAUUGGACAAAAAAAUCCUCAGCUCGAAGGGAAACUCAAAAUCAACAAGUGGAGCAACAAGUGGAAUCGUUCUUACAAAGCUAAGGAAUAAAGAUGGACCUGUACAACAUUGAGGCUUGCCACCCACUGCCCAGGAAAAACAACGAUGGACCUGCCAUUAUAAUGACGUUUGUCAGAUUCCGUACAUUUCAGCCAAAAUAUAUCUUAUAUACCCACACCACAGAACAAUUACAAUAAAGGCUGCGUAAAAUA
Nerophis ophidion (straightnose pipefish) is the source of this 346-nucleotide long non-coding RNA. RefSeq lists it as uncharacterized. The record is from RefSeq and is a predicted model, not a curated record. NCBI's taxonomy places the organism in Eukaryota, Metazoa, Chordata, Actinopteri, Syngnathiformes, Syngnathidae. The transcript is spliced from 3 exons.